Misgurnus anguillicaudatus (oriental weatherfish) is the source of this 1933-nucleotide non-coding RNA. The record is from RefSeq and is a predicted model, not a curated record. Lineage: Eukaryota; Metazoa; Chordata; Actinopteri; Cypriniformes; Cobitidae.
ACCAGCACCAAAACAUGCCGGUACUUGCAUAUGGUGGGCUUUAUGGGGUAGUACAGUGAGUGUGAAGUGAUCUCAUAUUGUGACCUUCAUAUGAGCACACAUUGAGUGUGCAGCGUGCUUACACAUUAAGAUCAUGACCCACACAGUGAGUAUCUUGUGAGCUCAUGGUGACUUCCCUUACGAAAAUUAACCAUGGUUUUACUACAGUCAACUUAAAACCAAAAAAGCAUGGUUACUGUAGUAAAACCAUGGUAACCACAAAAUAACCAUGGUUUUGACAACCAUGUUUUUCUAAAACCACAGAACCAUGGUUAGUGUAGCCGUUUAGUGUAGUAAAACCAUGGUCAAAGACCCGAGGUGAGGUAUACAUUAAAGGGUUAACCUGAAGUAGUAAAACCAAAAGAAAGUCAGCAUCUCUUUAGUGUCCUCACUAAUAUAAGAAAUUACUAGUUUGUCUUCCACCCAGUGCAAGCUUUUUACAUGAACCCCCAAACCCCACCCAGAAAAACACAGCACAACUUAUUAAAGUUUAUUUAAUUUAUUUUAAUGUUUGAUUGUUCUGUGAAAUACAGUGGUAAUUAAGUGCUAAAAAUCUACAAGAAUUGAAUUUGUUUCACGUUUUUUUUUUUUUUUUUGCGCCACUGGGUCAAUACAACGUAGUACGCAUGUGUCUGCAGGAAGAGCCGCUUGUGCGAGUGCUCCAUACUCCAAUCCAGUAGGUGGCGGUAAAUGCACCUUAAGUUGGUUUGCCACCCACCAUUUAAACAACAAAAGAAGAAGAAGAAGCCGCUUGUGCGCAUGUGUCUGCAUCCAAAGGUUACCACGACAAGUUUGCGACUGAGUAAAUACAGAUACUACAGUACGUGAUCUGGAGCUUGACUUCACAUGUUUUUGUGGUGAUUAAAGGCGGAGUCCAUGAUGUUUGAAAGCCAAUGUUGAUAUUUGAAAUCACCUAAACAAACACGCCCCUACCCCAAUAGAAUCUGGACCUUCUGUUGAUAGACCCGCCACACACAUAUGCAACCCGGCAAGGAUGUCGGUUAGUAGACACGCUCCUUACUGCUGAUUGGCUAUGGGGCGGUUUCCCGGACCAGGAUUAGCUUAAUCCAGGACUAGGCCUUAGUUUAAUUAGUAAAUAUAACUAGUUUUAACAAACAUGCCUUACUAAAAACAUUAUCUGUGUGCAUUUUGAGGUAAAAUAAAGGGCACUGAUGUAUUUUAAGAUAUGUCAGUGCAAGUUGUUUUCAGUUUGGAGAGCUCUUAAAAGUGUUUAAGUCUAGGACUAGUCUAAUCCCUGUCCAGGAAACUGCCCCUAUAAGUGUGUUUUGGUAGUCGGCCCGUCUCCUUUUCCAAAGCGUUUUUCAAACAUCGUGGACUCCGCCUUUAACAAAUUGUGCGGUGCUUUUGGCAUUGUCUAUCCAUGUAUAAUUGUGAUGUUCCAGGAGUGCUAAUGGAAGCUACACGGUAUGUAGAUGUUUGUUCCAGUAUGUUUAUGUGUGUGUACCUGGUAAUUAUCACGUUGUGGGGACCGAAUGUCCCCACAAAGAUAGGAAUACCAGUAAAUUUUGACCUCGUGGGGACAUUUGUGAGGUCCCCAUGAGGAACCAAGCUUAUAAAUCAAACGGAAUGAUGUUUCUUGAAAAUCUAAGGUCGCAGAAAGUUUUCUGUGAUGGUUGGGGUAAGGGUUUGGGGAAGGGAAUAGAAUAUACAGUUUGUACAGUAUAAAAUGCAUUACGUUUAUGGAAUGUCCCCACAAAACAUGGAAACCAGAAUGUGUGUGUGUGUGUGCGUGCCAUGGAACAAAUAUUUAUUUUAUACCUUUUUGUGUGUUCUGUUUUUGACUUUUUUCCCCUGAUAUCAAGACACCAAAAUAAUGUUUUAAUACGCAUUUUCAUGUGUUUGUAAAGAAAAUAAAUGGUGUACUUCACUGUUA